GGUCCCGUGGUGUAGCUUUAGCACUCAGGACUCUGAAUCCUGCGCCGUGAGUACGAAUCUCUCCGAGACCU
This 71-nucleotide transfer RNA is filed under the name Haemonchus placei. It matches the Rfam family "tRNA". From Rfam's summary of the family: Transfer RNA (tRNA) molecules are approximately 80 nucleotides in length. Their secondary structure includes four short double-helical elements and three loops (D, anti-codon, and T loops). Lineage: Eukaryota; Metazoa; Nematoda; Chromadorea; Rhabditida; Trichostrongylidae. The record is from Rfam by way of RNAcentral.